GCCAGGUGUGGUGUUGUGCACCUAUAGUCCCAGCUGCUUGGGAGGCUGAGGUUGGAGGAUUGCUUGAGCCCAAGAAAUCAAGGCUGCAGUGAGCUGUGAUCUCGCCACUGCACUCUAGCCUGGGUAACAAAGCAAGACCCUGUCUCAC
This 148-nucleotide non-coding RNA is filed under the name Homo sapiens (human). Lineage: Eukaryota; Metazoa; Chordata; Mammalia; Primates; Hominidae. The record is from Rfam by way of RNAcentral.